GCGAGCGCAGAGGUGGCUGGAGAGGGAGGAGGAGCUGCUUAAGGAAACCGCAGAUAAGUUGCUUUGUUAGAAAUGAUAGAAGUUAGUACAAUUCUUUAGGAGAUGUAAAUAGCGAGAAUAUUUAAGUUAAUGCUUAGCAUUAAGUUUUUAAAGUAGUUUCGAUAAUAAGAUCUUGCCGAAGGGAAAAUAAUGAAGACUGACUUGAAAAGUAGUUUGAGAAAGGAGGAGAGAAGAAAAAAGAUAUUUCUAGAAUAUGAGGGAGGUUAAGAGAUGAAGCUUAGUAAUGGAGUGAGAUAAUUUUAAAUAGCUGAAAGGACUGCGAAGUCCGAAAUCAAAACGGCAUUAAAUUGAAGAGCAGCGUUUUAGAUUAACUUUAAAACGCAGAUGACGUAAAUAGAACCUAAACGUUUUAGAAAAUGAGGUUUUAGAUGACGAAAAUAUUUUAAACGCCGUCUCUUAAAAAGAUUAAAGGUGAUUUAAGAGCGAGACCUUCAUAUUCGUGGCGCAGGAAAGGUGAUUUGAAGCCUAGUUGGUCUUAUGGCAUUAUUUGCUAAAAAUUGAUGGAAAUAGUAAUUGGGAGUGGCAGGAUAAAAAUUUGGAGAAAGAAGAUUAGAAAUUAGAAGUGGAAAACACAGAAGACAGAAGUACAGGAAGGUGAAGAAAAGACUUAGAAGAUAGGAAAAAUAGAAGAUAAGACGCCUCUAGAAGACAGAAAAACUAAUUUCAAAGCCAAAAGGUAGGAAGCAGAAGAAAAAGUACUUAGACAAAUUAGGAAACCAAAGCAACUAAAGGCCCAGAUAGAAAUUAAGUAGGAAACCAGAAGAGAGAAAAAACAAGGUUGAAAAUACAGUCAAGGAGAAGUGUUUCAGAUAGAAAAUGAAAAGCUAGGACAAACUAUUGGAUACGAGCAUACAAGAUAGACAUGAAAAAAUUAGAAAAAUUUAAAGCUAAAAAAUUGGAUAAAGUACAAGAGCAGAAAAACAGAGGAAAUUAGCUUUUUAUAGUGAUAGGAAUUUUUUAAAAGCCUAUCAAUUUAAUCUCCGGUGAUGCGGAAGUUAGAAUUGAGAAGAUGAGGGUUAAACUACUGUAGACCAGGACCAAUUUAGAAGAAUUUCCGGAAGCUAGAAGAGAAAUCAGUUAAAAAUCUCAGCCAAAAGCUACUAAGAGGACUGAAGUAAUUUAAUAAAAAUUAAGAAUGGUUGUGGAAGAGUUAAAAAUUUGAAAUGCCUUAAAUAUAGUAGCUUAGUUUUCUUUGGAAAAUUUAAAGGACUUUGAUAACAAUUCAAGAUCAAGAAUACUCAGCAGUUUAACCAUUUGGCGCUGGACUUUGAGCUCAGAUGAUUUAAAUGCCGAGGACUAGCGUUAAUUGACAGCUGACGCAGGUGCUACGCAGAAGUGGAUUCAGUGAUCUAGGAAGACAGGAGCGGCAGACAGGAUCCCGGGAGCCAGUGUGCUGAAGCUAGGACGGAGGCCGAGCGGCCGUUCGCGGUGAAGAUAGGAAGGAGCCCGGGAGCCAGUGCUUGUGGUGAAGGCAGCUAGGAAGAAGGAAGGAGCGCUAACGCGUGGAGGCGCAGCUAGGCCAGAGUCCGGGAAGCAGGAGCCUGUGCUGUGUGAUGAAGCUAGCGGGCGGCUUGGCUUGGCGACCCCGCGGCGGCGGCGAGCAGGCGGAGUGGAGGCUAGCUAGAGCAUCCUAGAGCAGCGCCCGGUGUGCGAGGCCGCGGGGAGAGCGAGUGGCGUGGUAAAGAUCCGCGAGGUCGGCAGUACCGUGCUGGGUUGUUUUUGGUAACUUGAGCGUGGUAACCUUUCCUUAUUUUCCUAACGGUAACGGGGGAGUUGCGUACUUAAGCGUCAAGGGAUUUACUACGGGGAUGUAGGCCGAUUUCCGGGUGUCGUAGGUUUUUCUUUUUCAGGCUUGUUUUCUCAUCUUGUCUGAAGCUUUUGAGGGCAGACUUCCAAGCCCGGAGGAAUGGUAGAUGGCAAGUUUUUUUUUUUAAAAAACCGAUCUGAGGGAAACCAAAUGAAUUUGAUAGAACAACUUUGAGACAAAUGUUGGCAAGUUUUAUACGCAGUUUCUAUUUUUAGCUUGGAGUAAUGAAGCAUUUCAGUUCUGUGAAUAGAUGACCUAUUUUUCUGUCCUCACCCUGUAUUAAAGUUUUCUAAAGGUGGAGUUGGGGUGUGUAACUUUGGGGGGAGUUUUUGUGGGGUUGGGGGGCAAAAUAUGUUUUGAGUUCUUUUCCCCUUAGGUCGGUCUGUCUAGAAUCCAAAAGGCAGAUGACUCAAGUUAACAGAAAAAAGGAAAAUCCAGUAUCAGGAUAAUCAGAACACCACAGGUUUACAGUUUCUAGAAACUAGAACACGAGCAGCUCUCACUUUGAGGUGUGUGGCGGAAUUAUCCAUUGGAGAAAUGGCUGGUAGUUAUUCUUUUUUCCACCCCUUAAUCAGAUCUUCAAAGUAUGUAACCCCUUAAACAUUAUUUUUACUUGGAGUAUUUUGGAGUGGUCUUACCAGGGAAGAGGGUGGGGGAGGAAAUGUGUUUUUUCUAAGAUUUCCACAGAUGCUAUAGUGCUAUUGACAAACUGGGUUAGAGAAGGAUUGUACUGCUAUGCUGUUGGCACGAACGCCUUCAGGGAUUGGAGCUGCUUUUUCCCUUGGAAGAGUAUUCCCAGUUGAAGCUGAAAUUACAGCACAGUGCAGCUUUGGUUCAUAUUCAGUCAUCUCAGGAGAACUUCAGAAGAGCUUGACUAGGUCAGAUGUUGAAGUUAAGUUUUCAAAUAAUGUGACUUUUAAAAUACCUUUCUUAAAAGGGGGUGGGCAAAUUUUUGGCAAUUAGUAGUUGGCAGUGGCCUGUUAUGGUUGGGAUUGGGAGGGUUGGGUUUAGGUAAUUGUUUAGUUUAUGAUUUCAGAUAACUCAUGCAGAGAACUUAAAUACUUAGGAUGGAAAAACUAAGGAAAUCUCAACUUCCAAGUUGGCAAGUAACUUCCCGUCCUCUAGGUUUUGUUUUCCCCCAAUUUUUGAAUUGGGCAACUGAGGAAGUUCAUAAAGUUCCUCUGGAUUCAAUGUGUAGGGCCUGGGGAAGGAAAAUGUUAGACUGGGGGUUGGUCUAGCCCUCGGGGCUGACUUAGAUAAAAUCUUGGGAGUAUUUUAAAAUGCCAAAGUUGUUCAGCUAUGGGAGUGUGUGGUUCUCUUUUGGAAUUUUUUUCAGGUGAUUUAAUAUUACUUAAUACUGCUAUAGGAGCUUCAGAGCAAAGGAAGUGGCUUAAUGAUCCUGAAGGGAUUUCUUCUGAUGGUAGCUUUUAUAUUAUCAAGUAAGAUUCUAUUUUCAGUUGUGUAUAAACAAGGUUUUUUUAGUGUAGGAAAGAUUUUUCCUUCCUAUGAAUGCAAAAGGAGAUGUUAAGGUAUGCUUCAAAAUUAUUGUGAAUUGUGUAUUUUACAUUUGUAUCUUACCUAUUUGUAAAUCAUAACUGAUAAAAGAGGGCGGGCUUUUGUUGAUGAGGGAGGGGAAACCUUUUUUUUUUCUGUAGACUUUUUUCAGAUAACGUCUUCUGAGUCAUAACCAGCCUGGCAAUAUGAUGGCCUAGAUGGAGAGGGAACAGCUCCUUGGUGAAUGAUAAGUAAAGGCAGAAAAGAUUAUAUUUCAUAUCUCCAUUGGGGGAAAAGCGUAACCCUGAGAUCCUUACUACUGAUGAACACAUUGUCUGCAUAUGUCAAAAAAAAAUUGAGCCAAUGAAAACUACCAAUUUAAAGUUAAUGGAAUCUACCAAUUUAAAGUUAAUGGAAUCUACCAUUUUAAAGUUAAUGGAAUCUACCAAUUUAAAGUUAAUGGAAUCCACCAUUUUAAAGUUAAUGGAAUCUACUAUUUUAAAGUUAAUGCUUUAUCAAGCUUAUACCUACAAAAGUAACGAAUUGAUGAGAAAUACAAUGAAGAUCAAAUGUCCAUCUCCAAUUACUGCUUUUACAAAAGCAGAAUAAAAAAGCGAAAUGAAAUGAAAAUGAUACUACAUUAAUCCUGGAAUAAAAGAAGCUCAAGUAAUUCAGAGAUGAGUGGGAUCAAGUGGAUUGAGAGGAAGCUGUGCUGUUGCCAAUCUUUCGUUUACCUCAGACAGGUUUCUCUUCAUUAUCAGAAGAGUUGCUUCAUUCCAUCUGGGAGCAGAAAACAGCAGGCAACUGUUAACAGAUAAGUUUAACUUGCAUCUGCAGUAUUGCAUGUUAGGGAUAAGUGCUUAUUUUUAUUAAGAAGUUCUUAAAUAUUGAACUUGGCCAUUUUUCCUGAUCCCUUCCCUAGGGGAUUCCAGGAUUAUGAGGAAUUUUCCCGUCUAGCCUUUUUAAAAUUAGACACAACUCGUGCCUGUGGGCUUCCAUGAUGGGCUAGCACACCUCACUCAGAGAAACUUUGUCUUCGAACACUCUUUAAUGGACAAGAAAGAUCAGGAAUUGAGCGGAAGAACGAACUUAACUUUCUUAAGAAGCUUCAUUUCAUCCUUCAUGAAGCUGUUCAGAAUAUUGACUUGCAUAUAAGCGCUUGGCUCUGCCUUCUAUUCUCCUAGUGAGUGUGUGAGAGACCUUGCAACUACACAGAGAACGCAGUUGUCUUGACCUCAGGUCUGUCUGUUCUGUUGGCAAGUAAUAACGCAGUACUGUUCUGAUCUGCUGCUAUUAGAAUGCAUUGUGAAACGACUGGAGUAUGAUUAAAAGUUGUGUUUUCCCCCACUGCUUGGAGUAGUGAUUGUUGAAGGAAAAUCCAGCUGAGUGAUAAAGGCUGAGUGUUGAGGAAAUUUCUGCAGCUUUAAGCAUUCAUGUUUGUGAUUGAAGCCAAGUACCUUUUGCUGUGCUUAGGUAAAAUGCUUUUUUGUUCACUUCUGGUAGGGGGGUGGGGAGGGCACUGAAGCCUUUAGUCUUUUCCAGAUGCAACCUUAAAAUCAGAGUCAAGAAAUAAAUUCCAAACAAGCCACAGUCUUCAGGAAAUUUAACUGGCAAGUGGAAAUGUUGAAGAGUUCAGUGGUCUUAGUGUAUUGUCUUUGUGGGUUUCUCUCUCCCCUCCCUUCGUGUUAAUUCUUACACACAGGAACAUUCAAAACAGCAGACGUACACGAAGGGCCAGAGAAGCCAGACCCAGUAAGGAAAAAUAGCUUAUUUACUUUAAACAAAGAUUCCAUUUUAAAUGUGGGGAUUGGGAACCACUAGUUCUUUCAGAUGGUAUUCUUCAGACUAUAAAAGGAGCUUCCAGUUGAAUUCACCAGUGGACAAAAUGAGGACAACAGGUGAACAAGCUUUUUCUAUGUUUACAUAUUAAGCCAGAUCCGUUGGGUAAAUCCUUUAGUGUUACAGACUUGCAGCUUUAUGCUGGAGUAGAUAGCAUGUGAGCAGGUUGGUUGUUGGCCUGGGGGUGGAGGGGUGAGGUGGGCGCUAAGCCUUUUUUUAAGAUUUUUCAGGUACCCCUCACUAAAGGCACCGAAGGCUUAAAGUAGGACAACCACGCAGCCUUCCUGUGGCAAGAGAGACAACAAAGCGCUAUUACACUAAGGUCACUGCAAAUGGCGUCGGCCUCAUAACGCGCCCCGUCUUCUCGUAGACCUCUGAGGACUUGCCUCAGCGCCCUUGGCAGACAUGCACUGAGGCUCUUUGGGCCUGAAGCAUCCAGAGGAAUGCUUGAGUACCUUGUAUACCCCUGGGCUUGUCCUAACCCAUAAGCUGUUUUUAUAGCAGCUGUUACUAAAGCCCAAACUUCAAGUGAUGCUUGAAGGGGAGGGAAAGGGGGAAAGCGGGCAACCACUUUUCCCUAGCUUUUCCAGAAGCCUGUUAAAAGCAAGGUCUCCCCACAAGUGACUUCUCUGCCACAUCGCCACCCCCUGCCUUUGGCCUAGCGCAGACCCUUCACCCCUCACCUCGAUGCUGCCGGUAGCUUGGAUCCUUGUGGGCAUGAUCCAUUGUCAGUUUCAAGGUAACAGUGGUGCGAGGUCUUCCGGUGGGUUGCACUACUAGAAAAGGCCAUUAACGUGCUUGCAAAUGGUUAAGGUUAUUAAAACCACAACUAAAACCUCUGAUGUUUUAAGUGUACAAAUUUAAACCAGUGAAUGGAGAGCAAUGUUUAAGAACUGUAAUGUUGGGUGGGAAGAUAGAACGUAAAAACUGAAGGAGAUAGGCAUUUUAUUUCAGUGGUUGAGAGGGCGUUGGGUGGGAUUGCAAAAACUCUCUGCUAAGACUUUUUCAGGUGAACAUAACAGACUUGGCCAAGCUAGCAGCUUAGCUGAAGCAGAUUCUCCAGCAGUGCCCUUCCAUAGGGUUGUAAAAGGUUUUUCUUUUCCUGAGAAAACAAAAUCUUUUGUUUUCUCAGGUUUUGCUUUUUGGCCUUUUCCUAGCUUAAAAAAAAAAAGCAAAAGAUGCUGGUGGUUGGCACUCCUGGUUUCCAGGACGGGGUUCGAAUCCCUGCGGCGUCUGUGCUUGACUGUACCCUCUGCCUUCAGGACUCUCCUUUCCGUUUCCCUCCUCCUGUUCAGGAGGCGGCUCUGGAGUCGGGGGAGGGGCAAGCUGCCAGUGGAGGAGUGUCAGCUCGGCUGAAUUGUCAGAGCCUGGAGUCCGUUUGCAUUCACAUGGAAACCGGAAAACCUCAUAUAACUGCCCUGUCUUUCGUUUUCAGGUGUUUCUUGUGCAUCUGGCAUUUAGAGAAGCCUCACUCCUAAAACCUUAAGAUUUCGUAUUAAUAAAAAUUGAAAAGCUC
RNAcentral lists this long non-coding RNA (6716 nucleotides) under Equus asinus (donkey). Lineage: Eukaryota; Metazoa; Chordata; Mammalia; Perissodactyla; Equidae. The record is from RNAcentral.